CGUACCUUUUGUAUAAUGGGUCAGCGACUUAUAUUCUGUAGCAAGGUUAACCGAAUAGGGGAGCCGAAGGGAAACCGAGUCUUAACUGGGCGUUAAGUUGCAGGGUAUAGACCCGAAACCCGGUGAUCUAGCCAUGGGCAGGUUGAAGGUUGGGUAACACUAACUGGAGGACCGAACCGACUAAUGUUGAAAAAUUAGCGGAUGACUUGUGGCUGGGGGUGAAAGGCCAAUCAAACCGGGAGAUAGCUGGUUCUCCCCGAAAGCUAUUUAGGUAGCGCCUCGUGAAUUCAUCUCCGGGGGUAGAGCACUGUUUCGGCAAGGGGGUCAUCCCGACUUACCAACCCGAUGCAAACUGCGAAUACCGGAGAAUGUUAUCACGGGAGACACACGGCGGGUGCUAACGUCCGUCGUGAAGAGGGAAACAACCCAGACCGCCAGCUAAGGUCCCAAAGUCAUGGUUAAGUGGGAAACGAUGUGGGAAGGCCCAGACAGCCAGGAUGUUGGCUUAGAAGCAGCCAUCAUUUAAAGAAAGCGUAAUAGCUCACUGGUCGAGUCGGCCUGCGCGGAAGAUGUAACGGGGCUAAACCAUGCACCGAAGCUGCGGCAGCGACACUAUGUGUUGUUGGGUAGGGGAGCGUUCUGUAAGCCUGUGAAGGUGUACUGUGAGGUAUGCUGGAGGUAUCAGAAGUGCGAAUGCUGACAUAAGUAACGAUAAAGCGGGUGAAAAGCCCGCUCGCCGGAAGACCAAGGGUUCCUGUCCAACGUUAAUCGGGGCAGGGUGAGUCGACCCCUAAGGCGAGGCCGAAAGGCGUAGUCGAUGGGAAACAGGUUAAUAUUCCUGUACUUGGUGUUACUGCGAAGGGGGGACGGAGAAGGCUAUGUUGGCCGGGCGACGGUUGUCCCGGUUUAAGCGUGUAGGCUGGUUUUCCAGGCAAAUCCGGAAAAUCAAGGCUGAGGCGUGAUGACGAGGCACUACGGUGCUGAAGCGACAAAUGCCCUGCUUCCAGGAAAAGCCUCUAAGCAUCAGGUAACAUCAAAUCGUACCCCAAACCGACACAGGUGGUCAGGUAGAGAAUACCAAGGCGCUUGAGAGAACUCGGGUGAAGGAACUAGGCAAAAUGGUGCCGUAACUUCGGGAGAAGGCACGCUGAUAUGUAGGUGAAGCGACUUGCUCGUGGAGCUGAAAUCAGUCGAAGAUACCAGCUGGCUGCAACUGUUUAUUAAAAACACAGCACUGUGCAAACACGAAAGUGGACGUAUACGGUGUGACGCCUGCCCGGUGCCGGAAGGUUAAUUGAUGGGGUUAGCGGUAACGCGAAGCUCUUGAUCGAAGCCCCGGUAAACGGCGGCCGUAACUAUAACGGUCCUAAGGUAGCGAAAUUCCUUGUCGGGUAAGUUCCGACCUGCACGAAUGGCGUAAUGAUGGCCAGGCUGUCUCCACCCGAGACUCAGUGAAAUUGAACUCGCUGUGAAGAUGCAGUGUACCCGCGGCAAGACGGAAAGACCCCGUGAACCUUUACUAUAGCUUGACACUGAACAUUGAGCCUUGAUGUGUAGGAUAGGUGGGAGGCUUUGAAGUGUGGACGCCAGUCUGCAUGGAGCCGACCUUGAAAUACCACCCUUUAAUGUUUGAUGUUCUAACGUGGGCCCCUUACCGGGGUUGCGGACAGUGUCUGGUGGGUAGUUUGACUGGGGCGGUCUCCUCCUAAAGAGUAACGGAGGAGCACGAAGGUUGGCUAAUCCUGGUCGGACAUCAGGAGGUUAGUGCAAUGGCAUAAGCCAGCUUGACUGCGAGCGUGACGGCGCGAGCAGGUGCGAAAGCAGGUCAUAGUGAUCCGGUGGUUCUGAAUGGAAGGGCCAUCGCUCAACGGAUAAAAGGUACUCCGGGGAUAACAGGCUGAUACCGCCCAAGAGUUCAUAUCGACGGCGGUGUUUGGCACCUCGAUGUCGGCUCAUCACAUCCUGGGGCUGAAGUAGGUCCCAAGGGUAUGGCUGUUCGCCAUUUAAAGUGGUACGCGAGCUGGGUUUAGAACGUCGUGAGACAGUUCGGUCCCUAUCUGCCGUGGGCGCUGGAGAACUGAGGGGGGCUGCUCCUAGUACGAGAGGACCGGAGUGGACGCAUCACUGGUGUUCGGGUUGUCAUGCCAAUGGCACUGCCCGGUAGCUAAAUGCGGAAGAGAUAAGUGCUGAAAGCAUCUAAGCACGAAACUUGCCCCGAGAUGAGUUCUCCCUGACUCCUUGAGAGUCCUGAAGGAACGUUGAAGACGACGACGUUGAUAGGCCGGGUGUGUAAGCGCAGCGAUGCGUUGAGCUAACCGGUACUAAUGAACCGUGAGGCUUAACCUU
Molecule: ribosomal RNA, 2346 nt
Filed under: Escherichia coli
Lineage: Bacteria; Pseudomonadati; Pseudomonadota; Gammaproteobacteria; Enterobacterales; Enterobacteriaceae
Description: partial 23S ribosomal RNA
Rfam family: Bacterial large subunit ribosomal RNA
Source: RNAcentral